Molecule: ribosomal RNA, 225 nt
Filed under: uncultured bacterium
Lineage: Bacteria
Description: partial 16S ribosomal RNA
Rfam family: Bacterial small subunit ribosomal RNA
Source: RNAcentral
UGAGGAACAUGACCUUCGGCGGGGGAUAGCCGGCCCAACGGCCGGGUAAUACCGCAUACGACCACAUGGGGACAUCCCUGAGUGGUGAAAGCAGCAAUGCGCCGAUGGAGUGCCUCGCGGCCUAUCAGCUAGUUGGUGAGGUAACGGCUCACCAAGGCGACGACGGGUAGCUGGUCUGAGAGGAUGAUCAGCCACACGUGGGACUGAGACACGCCCAGACCUCCG